Molecule: long non-coding RNA, 842 nt
Organism: Zingiber officinale
Lineage: Eukaryota; Viridiplantae; Streptophyta; Magnoliopsida; Zingiberales; Zingiberaceae
Exons: 4
Source: RefSeq, a predicted model, not a curated record
CCGCCGAAACCUUUCCUUCUCUUCCCCAUCUUCCUCGAUCUCUCUUCCCGUAAGCUCUCACGCGACGCCGCCACCCUCUGUGCCUUCGUCGAAACCGUUCUCCCCAACCCACCGUCGACCUAUCCUCUCCUCGUCACGCGAACGCCACAGCCGCUGACCUCUCCUCACGCGAGCACCAGAGAUACACACCACAGCACCCGAUCGCUCGACGUUGCUCAAGACGUCGCUCACCGGAGCCUCCUAACCCCUCUACCCUGCACCGAUAGCACCGCUAGGUAUUCCUCUCUUUCGAUCCUUGCCCCGCACUGAUCGAUCUUCAGCGAAAGGGAAGAAAAUCCCAGCCCUAGCCUCACCGGAUUUGGAGCUUGCUAGAUUCAUUGGAGGUCUGUUUGAGGGUUCAAUUUACUACAUUAGAGGUGGGAGAUUGUAAUGCGUUUUGAUGUUGCCUUGCUUCCUCUUGAAGGUCUCGGGUUAUGUUCUGCAGCAGAAUUUGGGGAUUUUCUUGUGAUUUCUAUUUAGGACUUUGAUUUGAGACGGUAUACGACGUAGGAUUUCUGGAUACGAUCUUCUAUAAAGUAACAGGUAGAUGAGUCAUGGAUGCUUGGAGAGUCCCGGCUGCCAGACCCACGUCACACACGAAGAUAGUUUUUUUUGGAUUUUGUUACUGUUUGGGUGACAUGUUAAUAUUGCGUAUUUUGCUUUUAAACAAGUCACUGUGGAUUUUUGGGCCAAGUCUGUGAUGACAGGUAUUUUUGUUAGUGUCGUUGUUAGUUUUACGUUCGUAUCGCGUUAUGUCUUCCGCUGCUGUGUGUUUACGUUCAGCUGUGUAGGCUUAUUAAACU